This 396-nucleotide ribosomal RNA is filed under the name uncultured bacterium. RNAcentral's name for it is "partial 16S ribosomal RNA". It matches the Rfam family "Bacterial small subunit ribosomal RNA", at positions 523 to 918 of the family's 1533-position model. The record is from RNAcentral.
AUACGUAGGUGGCAAGCGUUGUCCGGAAUUAUUGGGCGUAAAGCGCAUGUAGGCGGUGCCUUAAGUCUGUCGUGAAACUGCGGGGCCUAACCCCGUAUGGCGAUGGAAACUGUGGCACUUGAGUGCAGGAGAGGAAAGGGGAACUCCCAGUGUAGCGGUGAAAUGCGUAGAUAUUGGGAAGAACACCGGUGGCGAAGGCGCCUUUCUGGACUGUGUCUGACGCUGAGAUGCGAAAGCCAGGGUAGCGAACGGGAUUAGAUACCCCGGUAGUCCUGGCCGUAAACGAUGGGUACUAGGUGUGGGAGGUAUCGACCCCUUCCGUGCCGGAGUUAACGCAAUAAGUACCCCGCCUGGGGAGUACGGCCGCAAGGCUUAAACUUAAAGGAAUUGACGGGG